GUAUAAAGCUGUAGAAGAUGUUUGUAUAUUUUGGAGAUUAAACCCUUGUCAGUUGCUUUGUUUGCAAAGAUGUUCUUCCAUUCUGUGAAUUGUCUUUUUGUCUUGUUCAUUUUAAGUAAGUGGUUUUAAUAUAUUACAUUAGGCAGUUUUCUGGGACCUAGGGGUAAAAAGGUAAAAGAUAUAUUCCUUGACUCCAAGAAAUUUUCAAACCUCUGAGCAGAUUAACAGGCAGAUUUAUUAUGAAGAAUGUACAAAUAAAAUGUGAUCUCAUGGGUCUGAUACAUUAAAAUAUGAUAUUUUUCAUUUUUUAAAAAAGUAUAUUUAUUCCUAACCCUUGAAAUUUAUAAGGUCAAUCAACAAACCACAACCAUACCCUUCCCAGCAUGCCCUUUGUUGCAGCUGCCCAAUUUCAUUCUGACUUGAAUAACUUUACAUAUGAUGAUAUCCUGGAAGUCCUAGGUAAUCUUGAAUGUGGUAUUCCAAAUUGUGACUAUAGCAUCAUGCUCAGUAAAAAUACACUUAUAAUUACUGGUGUAAUUAGAAAGAGACAAGAGUUUUCCUAUGGGAUUUUGUUGCUUUAAAUGAGAUAGUAGAUUAUGAAAAUAUUUUGAAAAUAAUUUAGGAGCUAUUCAAGCUUAGGAAGGUAGCUGGUCUUAUUGCUGUUACUGCACCUAACUGAACCCCUGAGAACAUUUUGUAUUUUGAAAAGACAUGUGAUUCUGUCACUUGUCUAUUUAUAUACAGAAUAUUUCAAAGUUGUGAGUGGCACCCUAGUAGCUUAGAAAUAUGAAUGUGACUCCAAAUAUACUCUAUUUUCUCUUCCCUUUGUGAGUCUUAUGACCUAUUACUUGAUAGAAUGUUUCUUAAAAAAGGUUUUAUGCAUCCUGUCUCUGUGAUCUUUACAAAUUCUUUAUUAGACAGUCACAUUAACCUCAAAUCUAAAAUUUUCUGCUUUUAAAAGACAAAAGACUUUGAAAACUAUAAUCACAUAGUGUAAAUUUGUACAAUUUAAAGUAAAUUAACUCAUACUAUACAGCAAGAAAUAGUUCUUGCUUGUUGACUGGCCUGACAGAGACUUUUAACAUGCCAUUAUGUUGCUGUUAUUGUCAUCCUUUUAUCUUCAAACUAACAAAUAAUGCUCUGACAGUGUUAAAAGACAUCUGAAUUUUUCUGCAGAAAACAGCCCUGAGCUGACAUAAAUGCUUUCACAAGGAAUAAUAUAAAACCCAAAGAUAUUAGCUUGACAUCAUGGGGGAAAAUUGUUAGAAUGGCUUUAUAUCCAAAUCCAUUAUCCCCUUUAAUCUUCACAAAAGCCAUGUGUUGUAGGUAUUAUUGUUCCUAUUUUUCAUAUGAAGAAUGCAACUCAAGAUAGUUAAACCUUAUGCCUGUAGCUACAUAAUUAAGUGAUGGUGGAAGCAGAAUCAAACCCAGAUUUUCUUAAUCCAUUUUUUGUUCUUUCUAUGAUACAGUCUUGGAAUACUCCCAUCCACUCUAGUAAAUCCAAGUACUCUAUUUUCUAGGGUAUUUCUCUUAUGCCAUCAUCAUUAAUCAUUAAUUACACAGACAAGAAUUAAUCAAUGCAAUUACCUGAAGAGACUAGAAUUCUAGAAAGGUAUAUUUUGUUGGCUGAUGGAGGGAUAAAGGAGGCAGGAUAAAUUUCAACUUUGGGAAGAAUUCACUAGGAUUGGGUGAUGGUCUUCAAGACCAUGGGAAGAUAUUUCUGGGCUCCCAGCAUAUUGUGGUAAAAAAAAAUGGAAAAAAUAGAAAGACUUGGA
Molecule: long non-coding RNA, 1775 nt
Organism: Sus scrofa (pig)
Lineage: Eukaryota; Metazoa; Chordata; Mammalia; Artiodactyla; Suidae
Source: RefSeq, a predicted model, not a curated record